GGGAUAUUAGCUCAACGGUAGAGCAGUGGACUUUUAAUCCAUUGGUUGAAGGUUCAAAUCCUUCAUGACCCA
Molecule: transfer RNA, 72 nt
Filed under: Flavobacteriales bacterium
Lineage: Bacteria; Pseudomonadati; Bacteroidota; Flavobacteriia; Flavobacteriales
Description: tRNA-Lys
Rfam family: tRNA
About the family: Transfer RNA (tRNA) molecules are approximately 80 nucleotides in length. Their secondary structure includes four short double-helical elements and three loops (D, anti-codon, and T loops). Further hydrogen bonds mediate the characteristic L-shaped molecular structure. tRNAs have two regions of fundamental functional importance: the anti-codon, which is responsible for specific mRNA codon recognition, and the 3' end, to which the tRNAs corresponding amino acid is attached (by aminoacyl-tRNA synthetases). tRNAs cope with the degeneracy of the genetic code in two manners: having more than one tRNA (with a specific anti-codon) for a particular amino acid; and 'wobble' base-pairing, i.e. permitting non-standard base-pairing at the 3rd anti-codon position.
Source: RNAcentral